AAUGAACGCUGGCGGCGUGCCUUACACAUGCAAGUCGAGCGAGGCGGCCCGCGAGGGUCAGUCGAGCGGCGGACGGGUGAGUAACGCGUGGAUAACCUGCCCAGAGGUGGGGGAUAACCCGGGGAAACUCGGGCUAAUACCGCAUGAUACCGAGAGGUCAAAGGGGGCUCGCAAGAGCUCUCGCCAUUGGAGGGGUCCGCGUCCGAUUAGCUAGUUGGUAGGGUAAUGGCCACCAAGGCGACGAUCGGUAGCCGGCCUGAGAGGGUGAUCGGCCACACUGGAACUGAGACACGGUCCAGACUCCUACGGGAGGCAGCAGUGGGGAAUUUUGCGCAAUGGGCUAACGCCUGACGCAGCAACGCCGCGUGGAGGAUGAAGGUCUUUGGAUUGUAAACUCCUGUCAGCAGGGAAAAANCAAAUCGGCCUAACACGCCGGUGAGUUGAUUGUACCUGCAGAGGAA
Molecule: ribosomal RNA, 461 nt
Filed under: uncultured bacterium
Lineage: Bacteria
Description: bacterial SSU rRNA
Rfam family: Bacterial small subunit ribosomal RNA
Source: RNAcentral